Molecule: ribosomal RNA, 490 nt
Filed under: uncultured bacterium
Lineage: Bacteria
Description: partial 16S ribosomal RNA
Rfam family: Bacterial small subunit ribosomal RNA
Source: RNAcentral
AUUGAACGCUGGCGGCAUGCCUUACACAUGCAAGUCGAACGGCAGCAUGAUCUAGCUUGCUCGAUUGAUGGCGAGUGGCGAACGGGUGAGUAAUACAUCGGAACGUGCCCUGUAGUGGGGGAUAACUAGUCGAAAGAUUAGCUAAUACCGCAUACGACCUGAGGGUGAAAGUGGGGGACCGCAAGGCCUCAUGCUAUAGGAGCGGCCGAUGUCUGAGUAGCUAGUUGGUGAGGUAAAGGCUCACCAAGGGGACGAUCAGUAGCUGGUCUGAGAGGACGAUACGCCCCACAGGGGAAGAGAAAACGGCCCGAGACCUAAGGGGGGGACAGGGGGGGGAAUUUUGGCAAAGGGGGAAAACCCGAAGCCGAAAAGCCGCGGGGGUGAAAAAAGGCCUCGGGUGGUAAAAGCCUUUUUUUCGGGAAAAAAAGGGGUCUGUUUAACUCUGGGGGUCGUGACGGUACCCGAAAAAAAAGGGACGGCUAACUACGUG